AUAAGGCUUUUCUGCUAACAUAUAGGAAUUUUUGAAGAAAGGAAAGCCAGAAAUACCCAAUAUCUUGCUGAUACAAGAUAUUGGGUAUUUCUUUGUUUUUUUUAUUCUGAAUCUUUCUAUUCUGAAUUCAGUUAACGACGAGAUUUAGUAUCCUUUCUUGCAUUUUCAUAACUCGUGAAAUGCCGAGUAGGCACGAAUUCCCCCAAUUUGCGACCUACCAUAGGAUUUGUUAUGUAAAUAGGUAUAUGUUCCUUUCCAUUAUGAAUCGCGAUUGUAUGGCCAACCAUUGUGGGUAGAAUGCUAGAUGCCCGGGACCACGUUACUAUUGUUUCUUUCUCCUCCUUCAUAUUGACCUUUUCGAUUUUUGCCAAUAAAUGAUGAGCUACAAAAGGAUUCGUUUUUUUUCGUGUCACAGCUGAUUACUCCUUUUUUUCCUUUUUAAAGAGUGGCAUUCUAUGUCCAAUAUCUCGAUCGAAGUAUGGAGGUCAGAAUAAAUAGAAUAAUGAUGAAUGGAAAAAAGAGAAAAAUCCUUUAGCUGGAUAAGGGGCGGAUGUAGCCAAGUGGAUCAAGGCAGUGGAUUGUGAAUCCACCCAUGCGCGA
Molecule: unclassified non-coding RNA, 600 nt
Filed under: Neotrinia splendens
Lineage: Eukaryota; Viridiplantae; Streptophyta; Magnoliopsida; Poales; Poaceae
Description: Achnatherum splendens partial miscellaneous RNA
Source: RNAcentral